RNAcentral lists this ribosomal RNA (786 nucleotides) under uncultured Actinomycetes bacterium. RNAcentral describes it as "bacterial SSU rRNA". It matches the Rfam family "Bacterial small subunit ribosomal RNA", at positions 61 to 825 of the family's 1533-position model. The record is from RNAcentral. Lineage: Bacteria; Bacillati; Actinomycetota; Actinomycetes.
GUCGAACGCGAAAGUCCCCUUCGGGGGACAAGUAGAGUGGCGCACGGGUGAGUAACACGUAGGUAAUCUACCUUUGGAUUGGGAAUAACCACCGGAAACGGUGGCUAAUACCGAAUAAUGCAGCGGCACCUAAUGGUGACAGUUGUUAAAGCGGGGGAUCGCAAGACCUCGCGUCUGAAGAGGAGCCUGCGGCAGAUUAGCUAGUUGGUAAGGUAACGGCUUACCAAGGCGAUGAUCUGUAGCCGGCCUGAGAGGGCGGUCGGCCACACUGACACUGACAUACGGGUCAGACUCCUACGGGAGGCAGCAGUCGGGAAUUUUGGGCAAUGGGCGAAAGCCUGACCCAGCAACGCCGCGUGAAGGAUGAAAUCCUUCGGGAUGUAAACUUCGCAAGAACGGGAAGAAUGAGUAAGGGUUAAUAUCUCUUACGAUGACGGUACUGUUUGUAAGCUCCGGCUAACUCCGUGCCAGCAGCCGCGGUAAUACGGGGGGAGCAAGCGUUGUUCGGAUUUACUGGGCGUAAAGGGCGCGUAGGCGGCCACCGCAAGUCGACUGUGAAAUCUCCGGGCUUAACCCGGAAAGGUCAGCCGAUACUGCGGGGCUAGAGUGCAGAAGGGGCAACUGGAAUUCUCGGUGUAGCGGUGAAAUGCGUAGAUAUCGAGAGGAACACCUGCGGCGAAGGCGGGUUGCUGGGCUGACACUGACGCUGAGGCGCGAAAGCUAGGGGAGCGAACGGGAUUAGAUACCCCGGUAGUCCUAGCCUUAAACGAUGAAUGCUUGGUGUCU